RNAcentral lists this ribosomal RNA (253 nucleotides) under uncultured bacterium. Its description in RNAcentral is "partial 16S ribosomal RNA". It matches the Rfam family "Bacterial small subunit ribosomal RNA", at positions 524 to 776 of the family's 1533-position model. The record is from RNAcentral.
UACGGAGGGUGCGAACGUUAAUCGGAAUCACUGGGCGUAAAGCGCGCGUAGGCGGUUUGCUAAGUGGGAUGUGAAAUCCCCGGGCUUAACCUGGGAAUUGCAUUUCAAACUGGCCGACUAGAGUACGGUAGAGGGAGGUAGAAUUUCCUGUGUAGCGGUGAAAUGCGUAGAUAUAGGAAGGAAUACCAGUGGCGAAGGCGGCCUCCUGGAUCGAUACUGACGCUGAGGCGCGAAAGCGUGGGGAGCAAACAGG